This is a long non-coding RNA of Podarcis raffonei (Aeolian wall lizard), 757 nucleotides long. RefSeq lists it as uncharacterized. The transcript has 2 exons. NCBI's taxonomy places the organism in Eukaryota, Metazoa, Chordata, Lepidosauria, Squamata, Lacertidae. The record is from RefSeq and is a predicted model, not a curated record.
CGCGCUGCGCCCCGCCCCUUGCCCUCUAGGCCCCGCCCGCCGGUCCUUCGACAGCGCCCCGCCAUUGGCCGCUCCCUCCCCGUCCUCGGCGUCCGGUUGGAGAAGAGGGGCAUCCGUCUUCUUUCCGCAGCCAGCAUGUUAGGCUGCCCCAGCCUCUUCGUUUGAUCUUGCUGUCAGGCGCCGCCGACCCUCCUCUCUGCCUUGUGACCCGCUCAAGGGCGCCUUGGAGACAGCAGGUCCCCACUCGGGGCUGCCCCUCGCGGUGCCUGCGUGCGUUGCUGGGGACUGGCUGUGCUUUUUUGUAAGGUCAGGCCACCGCCGCCCACUCCAAUGUUGACACCUUUUCCCCCCACACCAAGCUUCAAAAACAAAACCUCUUAUCGCACUUAAGAACGGCGUAACUGCGCCGGGUAUGAAAAUCAGCAAGCGCUACCACCACCCUUUGCUAAAUCUUCAUGUACUGAGGAAACGUAAAACAUUUCACCCUUCUGCACCCUUCGGCCCUUACCUCAAAGGGUUGGUGUAAGAACACGGCAGUCCCUUGUUCGGAGGCAAAUAUUUCAAAAGCUUGGAACUCCUGCUGGGACCCGGAGCUUAGAAGCCACACACUUACAUUAAAACAAGAACCUGCGACCCUACAGACAUUGCUGGCCUCCAACUCCCAGCAGCAGCAGCCAGAACUUUUAUAAAAACAGAACUUUUAUAAGUUCCUGUACUUCAAACACCUCAAGCCAAUUAAAGCUGGCAGCAAUCAAAA